AGAGUUUGAUCCUGGCUCAGGAUGAACGCUGGCGGCGUGCUUAACACAUGCAAGUCGAACGAUGACUUUUGUGCUUGCACAAAAUGAUUAGUGGCGAACGGGUGAGUAACACGUGAGUAACCUGCCCUUAACUUCGGGAUAAGCCUGGGAAACCGGGUCUAAUACCGGAUACGACGGAUUCCCGCAUGGGGGUCCGUGGAAAGCUUGAUGCGGUUUUGGAUGGACUCGCGGCCUAUCAGCUAGUUGGUUGGGGUAAUGGCCCACCAAGGCGACGACGGGUAGCCGGCCUGAGAGGGUGACCGGCCACACUGGGACUGAGACACGGCCCAGACUCCUACGGGAGGCAGCAGUGGGGAAUAUUGCACAAUGGGCGAAAGCCUGAUGCAGCGACGCCGCGUGAGGGACGAAGGCCUUCGGGUUGUAAACCUCUUUCAGCAGGGAAGAAGCGAAAGUGACGGUACCUGCAGAAGAAGCGCCGGCUAACUACGUGCCAGCAGCCGCGGUAAUACGUAGGGCGCAAGCGUUAUCCGGAAUUAUUGGGCGUAAAGAGCUCGUAGGCGGUUUGUCGCGUCUGCUGUGAAAGCCCGGGGCUCAACCCCGGGUCUGCAGUGGGUACGGGCAGACUAGAGUGCAGUAGGGGAGACUGGAAUUCCUGGUGUAGCGGUGAAAUGCGCAGAUAUCAGGAGGAACACCGAUGGCGAAGGCAGGUCUCUGGGCUGUAACUGACGCUGAGGAGCGAAAGCAUGGGGAGCGAACAGGAUUAGAUACCCUGGUAGUCCACGCCGUAAACGAUGAGUGCUAAGUGUUAGGGGGUUUCCGCCCCUUAGUGCUGCAGCUAACGCAUUAAGCACUCCGCCUGGGGAGUACGGUCGCAAGACUGAAACUCAAAGGAAUUGACGGGGGCCCGCACAAGCGGUGGAGCAUGUGGUUUAAUUCGAAGCAACGCGAAGAACCUUACCAGGUCUUGACAUCCCGCUGACCGGCCUAGAGAUAGGCUUUUCCCUUCGGGGACAGCGGUGACAGGUGGUGCAUGGUUGUCGUUAGCUCGUGUCGUGAGAUGUUGGGUUAAGUCCCGCAACGAGCGCAACCCUUGAUCUUAGUUGCCAGCAUUCAGUUGGGCACUCUAAGGUGACUGCCGGUGAUAAACCGGAGGAAGGUGGGGAUGACGUCAAAUCAUCAUGCCCCUUAUGACCUGGGCUACACACGUGCUACAAUGGACGGUACAGAGGGUCGCAACCCCGCGAGGGUGAGCAAAUCCCAUAAAACCGUUCUCAGUUCGGAUUGUAGGCUGCAACUCGCCUACAUGAAGCCGGAAUCGCUAGUAAUCGUGGAUCAGCAUGCCACGGUGAAUACGUUCCCGGGCCUUGCACUCACCGCCCGUCAAG
RNAcentral lists this ribosomal RNA (1385 nucleotides) under uncultured bacterium. RNAcentral's name for it is "partial 16S ribosomal RNA". It matches the Rfam family "Bacterial small subunit ribosomal RNA". The record is from RNAcentral.